This 324-nucleotide ribosomal RNA is filed under the name uncultured Trinematidae. RNAcentral describes it as "SSU rRNA". The stretch from base 112 to 324 matches the Rfam family "Eukaryotic small subunit ribosomal RNA", at positions 741 to 955 of the family's 1831-position model. The record is from RNAcentral. Lineage: Eukaryota; Cercozoa; Imbricatea; Euglyphida; Trinematidae.
GAUUUCUGACAGACCGUUGCGGCCCGUGCUCGUUUCGGGCGUGUGUGCCGUGUCGUGUUUGUCAUCCUUCCAGAGAGCUGCGUCUACCAUUUACUUGGCCGGACGUACGCGAUCUGGAUCGAUUACUUUGAAAAAAUUAGAGUGUUUAAAGCAGGCUUUCGCUAUGAAUACAUUAGCAUGGAAUAAUAAUUUAGGACUUUGGCCCUAUUUUGUUGGUUUCUAGGACUGAAGUAAUGAUUGAUAGGGAUAGUUGGGGGUGCUCGAAUUCAGCGGCCAGAGGUGAAAUUCUUGGAUUCGCUGAAGACGAACUCAUGCGAAAGCAUU